AAGGCUAAAUACUCUCUAAUGACCGAUAGUGAACAAGUACCGUGAGGGAAAGGUGAAAAGAACCCCGGGAGGGGAGUGAAAUAGAGAAUCUGAAACCAUAUGCUUACAAAAAGUUCGAGCCCGUUAAAGGGUGAGAGCGUGCCUUUUGCAGAAUGAGCCGGCGAGUUAUGGUAUUGUGCAAGGUUAAGUAGAAAAUACGGAGCCGAAGCGAAAGCGAGUCUUAAAAGGGCGAAAAAGUACAAUGCUGUAGACCCGAAACUGAGUGAUCUAGCCAUGAGCAGGUUGAAGUGUAGGUAACACUACAUGGAGGACCGAACCAGGGUACUAUGUAACGUGCUUGGAUGACUUGUGGUUAGCGGUGAAAUUCCAAUCGAACUCAGAGAUAGCUGGUUCUCCCCGAAAUAGGUUUAGGCCUAGCCUUGAAGAAUUUCCUCUGGAGGUAGAGCACUGAAUGUGGAAUGGCCGCGUCUAGCGGUACUGACUGCAAUCAACCUCCGAAUGCCAGAGUAGUUAGCUUCAGGAGUCAGUUUAUGGGUGAUAACGUCCAUAUGCGAGAGAAAAACAAUUCAGACCACCAGUUAAGGUCCCAAAAUAUAUGUUAAGUGGGAAAGGAUGUGGAGUUGCACGAACAGCUAGGAGGUUGGCUCAGAAGCAGCCAUCCUUUAAAGAGUGCGUAAUAGCUCACUAGUCGAGUGGCUCUGCGCCGAAAAUGUACCGGGGCUAAACAUAUUACCGAAACUGUGGAUUUAUGCAAUAGCAUAAGUGGUAGGGGAGCGUUCUAAGGGCGACGAAGAUAGAUCGAGAGGACUAUUGGAGCGCUUAGAAGUGAGAAUGCCGGUGUGAGUAACGUAAGGUAGGUGAGAAUCCUACCCACUGAUUGACCAAGGAUUCCAGGGUCAAGUUCGUCUACCCUGGGUAAGUCAGGACCUAAGGCGAGGCUGAGAAGCGUAGUCGAUGGACAACAGGUUUAUAUUCCUGUACUAUUUAUAGGACUGAAGGAGUGACAAAGGAAGCUAGUAAGAGCCAUUUAAUGGAUUAUGGUCUAAGCACAAAGACUGAUACAUAGGAAAAUCCGUGAUAUCGAACGGUUGAAGUGUGAUGGCGAAGCAGUCUACGGACAGCGAAGUCUUAUGAGGCUAAACUUUUUAAAAAAGCUUCUAAAGAAAUGCUAUAAAUACCUGUACUAAGAACCAACGCAGGUGGUCAAGGAGAGAAUCCUAAGGUGAGCGAGAGAACUAUGGUUAAGGAACUCGGCACAAUGAUCCCGUAACUUCGGAAUAAGGGAAGGUCUUGAAAAAGACCCGCAGUGAAUAGGCCCAAGCGACUGUUUACCAAAAACACAGGUUUCUGCAAAAGCGUAAGCUGAAGUAUAGGAGCUGACGCCUGCCCAGUGCUGGAAGGUUAAGAUGAUUUGUAAGAUGGACGAAAGUCGAUAACAUCGAAGCAAUGAAUUGAAGCCCCAGUGAACGGCGGCGAUAACUAUAAUCGUCCAAAGGUAGCGAAAUUCCUUGUCAGGUAAGUUCUGACCCGCACGAAAGGCGUAACGAUUUGGGC
This 1554-nucleotide ribosomal RNA is filed under the name human gut metagenome. RNAcentral describes it as "bacterial LSU rRNA". It matches the Rfam family "Bacterial large subunit ribosomal RNA", at positions 462 to 2014 of the family's 2925-position model. The record is from RNAcentral.